Molecule: long non-coding RNA, 1056 nt
Filed under: Monodelphis domestica (gray short-tailed opossum)
Lineage: Eukaryota; Metazoa; Chordata; Mammalia; Didelphimorphia; Didelphidae
Description: lncRNA (ENSMODG00000033593.2)
Source: RNAcentral
AGAGUGCUGAGUGGGAAAAGGAAAGGCUGAUGUUCCUUGCUCCCUAUUACUAUCUAGAGUUUGAGCCUGGAGAAUUCCUUCUGUGGGAUCUUCAUUCUGGCAGCAAACAUUUAUUAAGUACUUACUUUAUGUCAGGACUAAGGUCUGGGAAUACAAAUUUAAGUAGAAAGGAAAUUCCUGUCCUCAAAGAGCUUAUAUUUUAAUUAUUCCAAUGGAUGAAAAAAAGCCUCAAAGGAAAGUAAAUUGAAGUUAGGGUCUGGGAACCUGGUAUCUAAUGCAGAGGUGUAUGAUCAAGAAAAAUUACCUGGCCUGAGUGCUCUUUUUAAAAGGAGAUUCUGGGAGGAGCCAUCUAAUCAGAGGGAGAGACCUCAGAGGGAGAUGGCACUCAUAUUGAGUGAAUUCCAGGGUUGAGGGGAGCUACUUUUGUUAAAAAGGAAGAAUACUGCCAAGGAACCAUCUUCUUCUGAAUAUGGAUGGUGUUCUUUCUUAUAAGUCCUUCAGAAUUGUCCUGGGCCAUUGCAUUGCUUCUAGUAGAGAAAAGCCUGCAUAUUAUGAGGAUCCUGGUUCAGGCUUCUGCUCUAGCAAAAGCUGAACAUCCAGGUGCUUACAUGGAUGUCAAACAGCCCAGUCAAGCUAUCCAGUUCAAUCCUUCCCUGAGAGACCAAGAAAAGACCAUUGCCUCCUGCUUGUCAUCUUGGAUUCAAGCACAUAUCCAAGUGUCCCAGUUCCUUCAUCUCUGAUAUUAAAUUUGAAUGGAAUUGUAAAAUUUGGAUGAAGAAACUGAGGACUAGAGUCCUGGGUUCCAGUUCCUCUGACUAGCUGUCUGACUUCUAGAGAGUGACUUCAUCUUCCUGGACCCCAGUUUGUCCAUCAUCAAUAUCUGGCUGUUGGAUUCAGAUGAGGUACCUUGGGGUAGUGGAGACAGUACUGGGUUUGAAGAGGAAUUUCAUAGCUCUCUUGUGACCCUCGCUGUAUGACCUUAGGCAAAGUAUUUCAUCUCUAUACCCCUGUUUCCUCUUGGAUAAAAGGGCACUUCCAACUAUAUCUGUGCUCCUA